CCCACAUUAAACACCUUUACAAAGGACUCGCUCGCUAUAAUCCAAAAAUAUACAGACAACCGCAUCUUCACCAGUCUAUCGAAGAAAGUGUCUUUUUUUUUUUUAUCAGCGGGUUGGAAAAAAUAAGAAGUCCUAAAGAAAAAAGGGGGAAAAAAAAGUCCUAAAAAGAAAGCCGGGAUUUGGGGAGCGCCGCUCCAAAAGUCGCAGCCGGGGCAGCUCCGGGUUGGGGUCAGCAGCCGCAUCUCUCCCGAUGUCGUCUGAGUAUUGGAGCCCCCGAGGUGAGGGGAGGUGGGUGCAGCCCCAUAGCACAGCACGGGGGGGUCCGCAGCCCCAUAGCACAGCACGAAGGGGGGGUCCGGGGGGGGCCGCAGCCGCCCGGCGCCGUGCAGGAAGCGGCUCGUUACCUCCGGCUGAUAACGAAUCGGGAACCGACGGUCGGUGCGUGUUUGCUAAUCGGCACUGAUGGAGGAGGCGUUAGUGACACAAACUUCUCUCGUCUUUGGAGCACAGCCCGGAGGCCAACUCAGCCGCCUUAAGGGACAGCAGGGUGGCCUCCGAGGAGGGGUCUCGCCCCUUGGCCCCCUCUUCCAGCACGAUCUGCAGGUCGAAGAUAUAAUCGAUGACGUGCUGGAGGAUCUCCACCUGGCUCAGCUUGGUGCCCUGCGGGAUGCCCGGCACCAACUCCCGCAAUUUGGAGUAGCAGUCGUUCAUAUCGUACAACAGAUUCAUGGGUUCCUCCAGCGCCGGGCUCUUGUUGUUGCUGCUGCGGGCGAUGGCCAAACUCUGCUCCGAGAGGCAGCAAACGGCCUCGUAACAGCUCCUGACCGACCGCACCGGGCUGAUGGCUUUCAUAAUGGUGGGGUGGGGGUGGUCGGGGUGGGGGGGGAUGCUGAGUCUGAGGGGGCUGAGCGUGGGACCGCCGAGAAUUGCUUCACCCCUCGAUGCUCCCCGUCCUUCGCUCCCGGCUCCUCCGACCCCUCGCGCUCCGAGCGCUCGGAUCUCACUGCCGCACUGGG
Molecule: long non-coding RNA, 1016 nt
Filed under: Gallus gallus (chicken)
Lineage: Eukaryota; Metazoa; Chordata; Aves; Galliformes; Phasianidae
Source: RNAcentral